Molecule: long non-coding RNA, 984 nt
Organism: Corticium candelabrum
Lineage: Eukaryota; Metazoa; Porifera; Homoscleromorpha; Homosclerophorida; Plakinidae
Exons: 3
Source: RefSeq, a predicted model, not a curated record
AGCGAUGGCAGAGCUUUCCAAGUCUAUCGAGAUACAGCCCAUCACAUCUCAGCCACCGAACCACGAUCUCGAUGAUUCCUCCCAACCUGUCUCCCCUGGUUGUCCAGAUGUACCGACUGUCCCCAGACAGGUGACAGACUAUCUGCCACUGUCUCUGUGUACCAUGAUGUACUGCUUCUUUCCAAUUGGGCUAUGUGCUCUCCUGUACUCAAUUAGGGUUCGCGAGGCCAAUUUGCUUGGUGACCAAACUCGAGCGCAGCGAGCAUCUCGUAUUGCCUGUGUACUGAACGUCUUGGCAGUUAUUUUCGCUGGGAUCACUCUCGUAGUCAUUUAUUUUUUAGUGAGGGUAUGCGUGAGUGAAUACUCGAGUUGUUGAAUUGGAAUGGAAAGCUCCAUUCUCGUUGAGAUUAUGUGAUUUGCUGUUGAGUUUAGAGUAUAGCUAACAAAAUCUGAUAUAUAUAUAUAUACAUAUAUAUGUAAGUUUUGCAGGUAUAUCUAAUUUUAGCAGUAGCUUUACUGUAUACAUAUCCUAAAUCCUAAAUAUUAAGAGCUGCCUUUCAGAGGACAGACCCCCAGCGGCUAAGCUGGGUCCAGUGAGCUACUCGGAAAACUGUGGGUCUGUGCUAGCAAACUCCUUGAGCAGGGCCAAUCACUCGCAGAAUCGAUAUCACAGACUUGUAAAGCCAACUAUGGUGUGCACACCCGAAGUCUCACCAGGACUCUAGUGGCUAGUCGACCUCUGUGUUUAGAGAAGCAAAUAUGUGUUAGCUUCUUGAACUUGCAACCUUUGAAGGUCCCGGAUGUCAACACUUCAUAAGAUAACUCUAACCAACUGAGCUAUCGCACCACAUCUAGUAAUCAGCUUACCAAUCAAAUAGUACAAUUUGUGAAAUAUUGCGGUAUCACUUAGUUGCUAGCAAUUGUUCUCCCUUCAUACAACAAAAUAGCGUUUACUCUCAUGGCCUGGUGUCAGUCUUGUGUGUG